AAAGUCGUAACAAGGUUUCCGUAGGUGAACCUGCGGAAGGAUCAUUAGAAUGAGAGCCGGACCAUGUCGUGGGCGAAAGCUCGCACGUGCCAGUAAGCGCCCGUAAACCCUCCACCCUUGUGUAUUAUUCUUCUGUUGCUUUGGCAGGCCGGCGACCGUCUGGGCAGGAGCCGCUUGGGCCUUUCGGGCCUGGAAGAGUGCCUGCCAGAGGACCAAACUCUGUAAUUUAAUGCCGUCUGAGUACUACGAAAAUAGUUAAAA
RNAcentral lists this unclassified non-coding RNA (261 nucleotides) under plant metagenome. RNAcentral describes it as "partial contains small subunit ribosomal RNA and internal transcribed spacer 1". The stretch from base 1 to 47 matches the Rfam family "Eukaryotic small subunit ribosomal RNA", at positions 1785 to 1831 of the family's 1831-position model. The record is from RNAcentral.